This 798-nucleotide long non-coding RNA is filed under the name Castor canadensis (American beaver). RNAcentral describes it as "lncRNA (ENSCCNG00000010147.1)". The record is from RNAcentral. Lineage: Eukaryota; Metazoa; Chordata; Mammalia; Rodentia; Castoridae.
CCCCAAGGCCAGGACGAGCCGACCAGGCCUUCUUGGAAUGUACCAUUCGAUAAAGAGAAGGAGAAACAGGUGGCUAAGUUCUUCGAGAAGCUGACUUGGCGCCAACCAAUCGAUACAUGUUCAGAAAAUGGUGCCAUUAACAUGACCCAAAGUUUUUGACCUUCUGAUGUCCAAAGGUCACCCACUGGAAACCUGUGCAAGCCCAGGUGAAGGGUCAAUGGUUUCAAUAAAAGUGAGCUUCAAGCCAUGCGUGGUGGUAUACGUCUGUAAUCCCAGCACUGAGGAAGCUGAGGCAGGAGGAUUGAAAGUUCAAGGCAGCUGUGACUACAUAUGGAGAUCCUGUAUCAAAAACAAUGACAUCAAAGUGUCCAUGCUUCACAGAGGCCAAGGCUCAGAGAGGAAAGUGCCUUGCCCAAGGUCACACAGCUGGAGAGGGAUAACACUGGAGUGUGAACCUGGAAUCUACUUGCUUCUGAAACAAGGCCUUCCCUACUUUGACCUCCUCCUGGAGUUUAGCAUCUGGUUUUCCCCUUUGGUGUUGUUGGGUCUGGAGACAUAAGGCAGCCACCACGCUGUAAGGAAGCCUGGGCAGCCUGGAAGAAGCCCAGGAAGAGACAGGAACUGAGGUCUCCCCUGCUUAGCUCACGGAACCACCAGCCAACAGCCAGCAGUACCCUGUCAGCCAUGGAAAGAGGCCAUCUUGGAAGCAGGUCUGCCCCCAGGCGAGCCACCCUGACUGACACCGUGACCCUAACCCUUGGAGCAAAGACUUCCUACCUACCCUUAUUAAACCCUGCC